UACUGUAACACCCUCUUGAUCGUGACCCGGGCUGGUGGCUGUGUGUGUGUGUGUGUGUGUGUGUGUGUGAGUGGCUUUUGAUUUGCCUUUUGGGUGUUUGCUGUGUGCUUGGUGGGUUUUGUUUUUGUCUGUCUUCUCUUCCAUGUCUCCUGGAGCUGGUGGGCGUGGUCUCCAGUUCACUACGGCUGUCGCACACUUGUUCUCUGUCUCAAUCAAGCACCUGUUCUGCAUUCACUCAUCACCGCUCACUACUUAACCCUGGCCAGAUCUCCAGUCCUUCUCAGAUCGUUGUGUAACCUGAGAAAUUCGCCCUGUUCCCCCUGGGUUACCUGUCCUCCCCACCAGCCUGCACAGUCGUCAGGAGUAAUCCCCACCUCCCCCCGCCUGCCAGCUCCCACAACUUCUCCCUCCUCAACGGAACCCGGACCUUUCCCCGAUCCCCCUCAGCUCACCUAUUCCCUCUCUGUUCGUUGUAACCUAAAACCAUAAACCUCUUAAAUUCA
Molecule: long non-coding RNA, 503 nt
Organism: Micropterus salmoides (largemouth bass)
Lineage: Eukaryota; Metazoa; Chordata; Actinopteri; Centrarchiformes; Centrarchidae
Exons: 2
Source: RefSeq, a predicted model, not a curated record